Molecule: long non-coding RNA, 3910 nt
Filed under: Homo sapiens (human)
Lineage: Eukaryota; Metazoa; Chordata; Mammalia; Primates; Hominidae
Description: HSALNT0074208
Source: RNAcentral
GAUAAAUUCUAUGCAGAAAAGGGCGGGUUCCCUGAUGAAGCCCCGAGCCUCAAGCCGAAAAGCCUGAGACCCUGGCAUUAAGUGAGAACUUAUAUCCCUCUUUCCAGCUUGAAUGUUGCCUUUUCCUAAACCACCCAUAGCUCUGCGCCAUCCCAUCCUAUACCUAUAAAGGCCACAGACUCAGCCAGCAGAGGGGAGAAGCGGCUGGACAUCAAGGACCAUGGCUAGACACCAGAAAGAAGCUGCUUGACAGAGUAACUUCGGAGAAGAAUCUGGCCGGAGACGGCCGGAUUUCAGGGGAAGAUUACCUUGUCGCCUUGUCCUUUAUUCAGUCCCUCUUUCUGCGGAGAGCCACUUUCAUUGGCAAUAAAAUCCCCCGCAUUUACCAUCCUUCAAUUCGUUCACGUGACUUCAUUUUUUCUGGACCCUGGACAAGAGCUCGGGAGCCGAGAGUGCAGAUGCAAAAAGGCCCACUGAGCUGUUUACACUGAAGCCAUUCGCAGAUGUCAGAGCUAAAAGAGAACUGUAACAUGCCCUCUGGGGCUUCAUGGGUGGCAGGUACCCUCCCAGAUGGUGCCGUGGGGCCUGCAUGGAGUUUGCUCCUGCUGGCGCCUCAAAGCACUGGCCCUGGCUCCAGCACCCAUUCACCUCCCGCGAAGGGUGGAACGCAGCGAAUCUGAAAAUAUAAUCUGGAAAAUACCAUAAACCAAGAUACCUGUGAGCAGGUGAUUGCUGAAAAGGUAAAGACACUGAACAGUAUAUGUAAAAAGGAUAUCAGAAGACUCUGAAAGGUAGAGAGAAGAAAGAAGACUUGCCUCAGGACCUGAAGAAAGACGUGGUGGUGGGUUCCCAGAAUUAUUUUUUCAUUCAAACAUCACAAGCUUGAAGCUGAAAAAGCCAGCAACCCAGAAAUGAACGGGCAAAAAUAGACUUUCAAAAAGCCUGCUCCCUCUAGUUGAAGGACCAAAAAAAAAAGGAAAGCCUAGUAAUACAGAAAACAUUCAGACAAUAAUUUUUCUACUCCAGUGAAACGCCAUAAAAGAAACAGAUGAAAAAGCAGAGUGACCCUACUCCUAGCCAUACCAGCAAGGGCCUAGUCGGUGCCUAGACUUCUACACUCUUUAGGCUGUAAUGUGGCAUCCAACAGCCUUGCCAGGGUAGUGUAAGAUUAGACAAUGUAGGAAGCUAGAACUUCUAUCCGCACCAUCUGGUAAUGAGUGACUCUCCCAAAUCUCCCUCACAUGGUAAAAAUGUCAGUGAAGAACAUAUAGGGAGUCUAGUCUUCCAUCUCCACCUGGCAGUAAUGAGGUACUCCUCCCUCUCCCCGCUAGAGUGGUGUCAGAGGAGAUCUAGUGGAGAGUGAUGGCUUUGGGCAUUAACUCUCAAAUGGAGAGGCUACCUGGGAAUCCAGAACACCCAUCUUAUCCAGGAGUAAGGAGGAACUCCCCAACUCAGGUGCCAGUGGAGGCCAAGUUAGGAAGCUGAAUAUCUACGCCCACCUAGUAGUAAUACUACAGUGUGCCCAAAACCCUUUUCUCUGCCAGAAUGAUGUGAGGGAAAACCAGGUUUAAAAGAAUGUUUUAAAUAAGAUCUAGACUGUCAUCAUAACAUCACAUAGAAAUGUCCAGAUUUCAAUAAAAAAAUAAAGAACCAGAAAGAUCUCCAAUUGAAAAAAUAAUAAAUAAAUAGAUGACAACACUGAGAUAACAGAGAUGUUAGAAUUGUCAAAGAUUUUAAAGCACCCGUGACUUUUAAAAAAUGACCCAGUGAACAAUUAUAAACAUGCCAGAAACAAAUAAAAAUAUAGCAAAGAAAUGUCAAGUCUCAGAAAAUAAAUAGAAGAAAUAAAGGAAAUCAAAUGAACAUUUUAAAACUUAAAAAUGCAAUAUCCAACAGAAGAAUGAUGUGGACAGAAGAAAGAAUCAGUGACCCGGAAGUUAGAUAAAUAGGAGCUACUCAAUGUGAAUAACAGAAAAUAGACUGAAAAAACGAACAGAACCCUAGAGACUUUGGAACUAUAACAAAAGAUCUAACAUUCAUGCUAUCAGAAUCAUGAAUGUGGGAAAAGUAUGUGAAGAAACAAUGGCUGAAAACUUCCCAAAUUGGUGUGACACAUAGCUACAGGUUCAAGAGACUAAAUGGAUCACAAAUAGGAUAAACCCAAAGAAACACACACCAAAACACAUAAUAAUUAAAAUUCUGAAAAUUAAGGAGAAAGAAAAAAUCUUGAAGGCUAUGAGAAAGAAAUGCCACCUUACCUUUAGGGCAAAAACAAUUGGAAUAAUGGUGGGUUUUUUAUCAAACAUCGUGGAGGCCAGAAGUAAGUAAAUAUACACAUAAUACACGCUCUAGCAGGUGUACUUCUAGGCAUUUAUCUCAGAGAAAUGAGGUCUUAUGUUUACACAAAACCAAAUGUUUAUAGUGACUUGCAAUAGGUGAAUAAUGGAAACAGCUCAGAUUUUGCUCAACAGAUGAAUAGUUCAACAAACUGUGGUACAUUCAUGCUCUAGAAUAUUAUUUAGCAAUAAAAAAAAAAACAGGCCAGGCAUGGCUGCUCAUGCCUGUAAUAUCAGCACUUUGGGAGGCUGAGGCAGGAGGUAGCUUGAGCUCAGGAGUUCGAGACCAGCUUGGGAAACAUAGGAAGAUUCUGUCUCUACAAAAUAAAAUUUAAAACAACAGCAACAAAAUCCCCUAGCCAGGUGUGAUGGCAUGUGCCUGUGGUCCCAGUUACUCAGGAGGCUGAGGUAGGAGGAUCGCUUGGGCCUGGGAGGUCGAGGCUACACUUAGUCGUGAUGGUGCCACUGCACUCCAGCCUGGGUGACAGAGUAAGAUUCUGUCUCGAAAAGAAAAGAAAAGAAAAGAAAAACAGGAAAAAAGAAAAGAAAAGAACAAUCAAAUUAUGAAUAUGUGCAACAACAUGAGUGAAUCUCUAGAGAAUUAUGCUGAAUGAAAAAAAUCAAUCUCAAAAUGUUGUAUAUUAUGUGACUCCAUUUAUAUAACAUUUUUGAAAUGAUAAAAGUAUUAAAAUGGAUAAAGAUGAGUGGUUUCCAGGAUUUAAAAAGAGUAGAGUGGGAAAAAGUGGGUGUGGUCAGGGAAGGUAAAAAUGAGGCAUCCUCAUAGUGAUGAAAAUAUUCUGGAUCUUAGCAAUGUCAAUAUACUGGCUGUGAUGUCAUACUGUAGUGUUGCAAGAUGUUAUCAUUGGUAAAGUCAGGGACAUGGACAAAUAGGCAAAAACUGUGUCAAGCAAAGGAGAAGGGAAUGUGUAUGAAGAAAUUAAGAAUGUUGUGGGAGUGCCAGAAAUUAUACUCACUGGGAUUUUAGGGAUUAGAGAAAUUUCUGCAAGAAGUGACAAUAUGAAUAUUUAAGUUGUUGUUUUUUACUCUAUGUUCUUACCAAUUACAUGGAUAAUAGUGUUUAAUGUAACAGUGAAAAUGCAGUUACUAUGGAGAAAUAUAUUAUUAGCCACAGGUGUAUUUACUAUUAGAGUAAUGAUGGGGAAUAUUUGUUCUCCUUUUAGCUUGUCAAAUUUCAUGAAAAACUCUUUGAAAUUUUCAUUUUAAUUAUAUUGAAUCUAUGCAUUUAUUUAAUACAAAGCAGCAUCUUUGUAAUCUUGAGUUUUGAAAAACAAUUUGGGUUAUCUCUUAAUUUUAAAAAAUAUUUUAAUGUCCUCCACAAAAGUUUUAUAAUAUUCUGGAUACAAAUUUCAUGCAUUUUUAAGAUAUUUUUCCUUUAUGACUCUUAAGUAUUUUAUUGUUAUAGUAAAUAUAAAAGUAUCUCAUUAAAUUUUCUAUUUGUUGCUACUAUAUAUGCUAUUUACCUUAAUAACAUCUUACUUCUAAAAAUUUGUGUAGAGAUUCUUCAGAUUUUUAGUGUACUAUCAUCUGAGAAUAAAACGUAAUGUCUUCCUAAC